Molecule: ribosomal RNA, 242 nt
Filed under: uncultured bacterium
Lineage: Bacteria
Description: partial 16S ribosomal RNA
Rfam family: Bacterial small subunit ribosomal RNA
Source: RNAcentral
UACGAAGGGGGCUAGCGUUGUUCGGAAUCACUGGGCGUAAAGCGCACGUAGGCGGAUGUGCCAGUCAGGGGUGAAAUCCCGGAGCUCAACUCCGGAACUGCCUCUGAUACAGCACGUCUUGAGUUCGAGAGAGGUGGGUGGAAUUCCUAGUGUAGAGGUGAAAUUCGUAGAUAUUAGGAAGAACACCGGUGGCGAAGGCGGCCCACUGGCUCGAUACGUGACGCUGAGGUGCGAAAGCGUGG